AGUCAGGCUGCCCCGCGGAAGCACGAGAGAGCUUUGGUUAGAGCUCAGAGAGUCAGUUCUGCUGCGAGUGCUGCCGGCAAUCGGCCCGGGCUGAGCUGUCCACUCGUCCAGGUGCUGAAGCUGGGAGAACAUUUAGGGCUCUCUCGCUGCCAUGACACUCAAUCAAAGCACCUAGAGUGGGCUGGCUGAGACCAGAGGGGGUACCAAGCAGAACAAGGACAGAGGAAGGCACUGGGAGAGCACCAGAAUUGGAGAUAGAGCAGCCAUUUGGAUUUGGGCAGGAAGCAGCCGAGCACAGCUUUGGAUCCUUCUUUAGGGAAAUCGAGUUAUGGAUUUAUGGUCCCGGUCAAGCUCAGCCCAGCCCCAGCCAGGGGCGGGCUCAGCAGCAAGAGUUCUGGUGGCGGCGGCAGUAGCAGCGGCAGCGGUAGCAGCGGCAGCAGCAGCUUGGUCCUCUGACUCUCUUCGGUGACGGGUAUUCUUGGGUGGAUAAUACGGAUUACGUUGUUAUUGCUUAAGAAUACGCGUAGUCGAGGAGAGUACCAGCGGCAGGCGGGCAGCGGCCGCCCCUCCCAGCCCACCAGCUGGCCUCUA
This is a long non-coding RNA of Globicephala melas (long-finned pilot whale), 591 nucleotides long. RefSeq lists it as uncharacterized. NCBI's taxonomy places the organism in Eukaryota, Metazoa, Chordata, Mammalia, Artiodactyla, Delphinidae. The record is from RefSeq and is a predicted model, not a curated record.